UGUGGUGCUAUGCUAGUGCUUUUUUUUAGUAGAAGUGGCUUCUAGAACGAAUUCUGUUAAACCGAGUGAUCGUCUCAUCAUUCACAGAUUUUUCUCUAUUGCUCUUUGUUUCCUAAGUAUCAAGGAUACCAUAGUACAGUAGAUAUUAGUAGGAAAAACUGUCAAUAAUUUUGUAACAUCAUUUCUUGUAAAACCGGGGUGUAUGGUUUAGGGGGAACUAAGUUCUAACUAAAAUUACUUGGAACAGCUACAGUUGCAAUGGUAAGAAGUUGAGUACUUGAGUUAUUCAAUAUAUGCAAAUCAUCUAUGUCGCUGAAUAUGGGUCCUACACCUGCACAAUCUGGUUUACUAAUUUGUUUUAUAUUGGAUGUUUAGCAUUGGCAACACAGUUUUUGUUUUGCUUCCAGGCUUACCAUGCAAUCCGUUUAUUAACAGAUCAUUAAGACAAGAAGUGAGGCAUCAAAGAUUGCUCAAGGAGCUACACACACCUGGCCCUGAAAAUUGUAACUGAUUGAAGUUAAUAAUGCAUGUUUCU
This 535-nucleotide long non-coding RNA is filed under the name Setaria viridis. RNAcentral's name for it is "long non-coding RNA (SVIR_LNC007302)". The record is from RNAcentral. Lineage: Eukaryota; Viridiplantae; Streptophyta; Magnoliopsida; Poales; Poaceae.